AUAUUUCAUUUUUAAUAUGAUAAGACGAAGAAUAGCGUCCAUAAUAUCUGUGAACAUUAACAUAAUGCGUUUAUGCAGGUAUAUAUAUUGACUGUCGCCACUACACCCUGCAUCAGUCGCUAGCCAUUACAGUGCUUCACAGUCUUCACGCAAAUUGCUACACAAAAUGAUGUCUCGCACAACCUUAAUACUACUCCUUAUCUGUUUUGUGUGCGUCGCCGAGAUUACAAAUGGACACAUCAUUGAUGUACCACCUAGAACUAAAUGUGGACAGAAAGGAAAACCUUGUCAGAGCAAUUCAGUAUGCUGCAGUAAGCAAUGUUUGCCCACAAUUAAUAGAUGCAGUUCUUAAAUAAAUUUGUUUGAAAUGAAUCAAACAUUAUACUAUUUCAUUAUUUUACGAAUUGGGUGGAAGGCUUAAGAUUGGAUAAGUCAGAAGGGAUUGGUAAAUAUUGUUUAUUUUUCGCACCAAAUAUAAAUGUAGAAUAAUACAAAAAUAGGUUAAGUUUUAUUUAUUAUAUAAUAAUUUUACACAGUUAAUACAAUAAAGUGAAAUAAAAAAACCCUUGUGUAUUUACUGAAAUCAAACUU
This 591-nucleotide unclassified non-coding RNA is filed under the name Melitaea cinxia (Glanville fritillary). RNAcentral's name for it is "misc RNA ENSMCXG00005017833.1". The record is from RNAcentral. Lineage: Eukaryota; Metazoa; Arthropoda; Insecta; Lepidoptera; Nymphalidae.